CAAUAGCGUAUAUUUAAGUUGUUGCAGUUAAAAAGCUCGUAGUUGGAUUUCGGUUGAGAACGGCCGGUCCGCCGUUUGGUGUGCACUGGCUGGUUUCAACUUCCUGUAGAGGACGUGCUCUGGCUUCACGACUGGACGCGGAGUCUACGUGGUUACUUUGAAAAAAUUAGAGUGUUCAAAGCGGGCUUACGCUUGAAUAUUUCAGCAUGGAAUAACACUAUAGGACUCCUGUCCUAUUUCGUUGGUCUCGGGACGGGAGUAAUGAUUAAGAGGAACAGUUGGGGGCAUUCGUAUUUCAUUGUCAGAGGUGAAAUUCUUGGAUUUAUGAAAGACGAACUUCUGCGAAAGCAUUUGCCAAGGAUGUUUUCAUUAA
RNAcentral lists this ribosomal RNA (373 nucleotides) under uncultured eukaryote. RNAcentral's name for it is "partial 18S ribosomal RNA". It matches the Rfam family "Eukaryotic small subunit ribosomal RNA", at positions 592 to 976 of the family's 1831-position model. The record is from RNAcentral.